UUUGAAAUAGCUGUUAUCCAUAAUUUUGAAAUUUGACAUGUCUUGAUGUCAAGAUUAAAUACCUUGCUUAUAGCUUUGAGUUUCUUGCUUUGUAGCUCUGAAUAGUCAUGGGUUGAAAUGUGGUGUUAUGUAUCAGAACUACACUUAAUCUAGAAACAGAGAAAGGAAGUUAGAAAGAGACUUCGUUGAGAAAAGAAGGAGAAGGGCGAGAAAAUUUAGAAAGAAUAUAGA
Molecule: unclassified non-coding RNA, 231 nt
Filed under: Hevea brasiliensis (rubber tree)
Lineage: Eukaryota; Viridiplantae; Streptophyta; Magnoliopsida; Malpighiales; Euphorbiaceae
Source: RNAcentral